GGGCCUUUAGCUCAGCUGGCUAGAGCAACCGGCUCAUAACCGGUCGGUCCGGGGUUCGAGGUCCCUGAAGGCCCA
RNAcentral lists this transfer RNA (75 nucleotides) under Thermobrachium celere DSM 8682. It matches the Rfam family "tRNA". From Rfam's summary of the family: Transfer RNA (tRNA) molecules are approximately 80 nucleotides in length. Their secondary structure includes four short double-helical elements and three loops (D, anti-codon, and T loops). Lineage: Bacteria; Bacillati; Bacillota; Clostridia; Eubacteriales; Clostridiaceae. The record is from Rfam by way of RNAcentral.